UUAGGCAGGUGAACUCAGGUCAAGCCAGAGCCCCGCCGCGGCCACGCAGCCUGUGCGUGAUGUCCGAGUAACAGUGGACGCCGCAGGAUUUGUGCAGGAUCUCAUCCAGCUCUUGCUUGCGCGGGGAGAGAUAUCGGCGUAGGUAGGUUUCAGCGAAGCCAUUAUUGCUAAGGUAUAGAUGUGAAAAGCAGCAGAAACCAAACCCCCAACAGCACGGAUUUUCCCCUCCGCGCCCCCCCCCAGGUCCCUUUUUCUAUUUAUGUAUGCGCGUAUGUACAUAUAAAAGAUGGAACACAGAUUUCAUUGAAUAAAUCUGAGGUCUCCAGGUGCAGACGUCUGCAGGGUCGGUGCCAGCACCCCGUGUUUCCCUUUCCUGCCGAUUUUGCUUGGAUCCGGCUCAAAAACCCAGAGUCUCGUGGUUUUGUUUACACUGAAUGGGGAGGAUAGGAACAGAGCCAUGGGCCGUCUUUCAUUAAUAUACAGUGAGGAUUUUGUCUAAAUUACUGCUAUGAAUUUCACAGUACACGCUUUCAAAAGCAGUCUCAGGUGGCCUGAUGAAACGCGAUAGCGCCUCUGCAAACAGAUCCGCUUUCUUUCUCCUCCAGGAGGGCGUGCGUGCUGUGGGAAGCCCCCCGAACGCAGCGCUCCUCCGUCAGAGAAAUACACUGCUACUCUGAGGUUCGUCCCCGCCGUCUCCCCUUUUCUCCUACUUAGUUCUCCAGUCGCUCCCGAGCCUCCCCCAGCCUCACUCCACUUGCCCCCUCCCUCUGCGAGUGUGAUUGUUUUGUCUGGAAAAAAAAAAUCCAAAGUAUAUAACAAGGGGAGAACAGUUAGUGCUGAUUUUCAUUUGCAUACAUUUUCAUAUAUUUUGGUGAAAAUAAUAGACUAGUGGAGAGCUGGGCUCUGAGGAGUCAGUGUGAGGGGAAGGCUAAGGCUGCAUCGUUCUGGGGAGUUGAGAAUAUGCAUUCACCGCCUCCCGUCACUUGAUUGAAAAAAAAAAUCUCUUAUUUUAAAAUCUAACCCCGGAAGUUUGUUGGACCAUCAUGGAGACCAGAAAACAAGGCGAGGAAACUGACAACUCAAAGAAGAUGCCUUACUUUCCCCAGGCCCUGUGGCACACGGCAGAACUGGGGUGCCCCUGAGACGGCAGGCUGGUCUCGCCCCCGGAGGUGAUGGGUUUCUCUCACAGAAAGCAGCGGCGAGGGUAUUGAAAGAUGGUCGUCAAGCUCCUGGGACAGAAGCAGGCGAAGCUGUUAGGCAAGGUGGUUUGCGUGUCCUCCUCAUGCCAGGCCUGUGCUGGGCUUGGGGACCAAGGAAAGGGACAGGAUGAUCCUGACUUUCUGGAGCCCACAGCUGUGCUGCGGCGGGAGUGGGAGCAUCACGGUAUGUGGCAGCGGAGGCAGUGGCAGGAGCCUGCCAGAGGCCCUGUGAGCCAAACCAGGAGAGAAGAGCUGGGACCAUCGGUGAACACCAGGCCCUGGAUGGAGACCCCGCGGACUCCAGCUCGGACUCUCCCAGGAACGCGCAGAGCCGUGCGGUGGGGAGCUGGUCAGGAUGCGGUCUGAGAGGCCAGCAGGCAUGGGGCAUGCCAGGUCUCAGCGUGGUGCAUGUUUAGGAGUUCGCUGUUGCCCUAGGUAUGGAGGCCAGUACGUGUGCUCAGACCAACAUCAGGCAGCGGAGGCUGAGCCUGAACUCAGCGUGUGUCAGGGUUUGUUGAGUGAGUGCAAAGUCUGUUUUAAAAGGCGAUGUUCCAUGCUCAGAACACAUCUUACUUGAUUUUUAAACUUUGGUUUUGACUUCUAUCACACAAAACAUCCUUCAUGUAGUGUAAUUUUCUCCGAAAGACCGCGUUACAGUGAUGAGAACACAGUCCCAAGUCUGGUGCUGAGCACCGCGCCUGGAGUCACAGCAAAGGUUAAUGAGACGCCCUGCUGCAGGGGUCGCGGGAAGUGCUGUUAUACACGGUCACGUCCCACCUUUGGCAUCACCCAGCACGCCAGGCUGAGCUGGCAGCACCCCGCUGUCUCCCUGCUGUGGAUGGCGGAGAAGUGGGAAGACCUGGUGGCCCUGCGAGCAGUCCCAGGAGCAGGGCCUCUGUCCGGGUGAGCUGUGAGUCCAGGGCCGACGGUGGCCGCCAUGGCACAGGGAGCCACAUGGCUCCUGGGCCUCAGGGGCUCCUGCUGCUGGCGUGGUGGAACAGGAAGGAGCCCCUGGCUGGGGAAGGAGCCCCUGGCCGGGGUCUGCGCCCCAGGGAGAUAAGGAACAGCCCACAGAUCUCACUCUAUGGCCCUGAAUCCCACACCUGAUGAGGCUCCCAAGUCUUGAGGAGCCUGAGGUGGUCAGUGGAAGGUCCCUUGUUCUCCUCCCAUUCCAGUUAAUGACGUGGAGGUGUGAGGAUUUUUUAGGUGUCACCUCAAUGUAGAUUAGCAUUUGGGUCCUUUGUCAUCCUGGAUCCCUUGCCUGUUCUCCUCCUCUUCCUUGAACUUGCGUCCAAUGAGCCUGCUGUGGGUCACUAGAAUCACCUUUGUUGUCUGUGGUGCGGAGAGCCGUUUUAGCAUUUGGGACACAUCCGUGGCAUUCAGACUCGUUUCUGUAGAUCUGCGUUUCCUCUCAGAAUCCCACAGGCAGUUCUUGGGGCAAAACCAUUCCUUUGCAACUUAAUUAUCAGCAUGUGGAAUACAGUAUUCCCUGUCUGAGCUGGAAUGGAAGGAACCCAUCAUCUUUGAGUCCUACCUCUUCAGAAAAAUGGCAGCUGCCGCCAGAUGUGAACUGGACACUUGAAAUUGGCAAACAGCUGGGAGUUAGUGUGAGGGAGAGAAACAGACAUGGGCGUGGGGCUGGGUACAGGUGGGUUCCGGAUCAGCUCUGCACUUACUGAUGUGGGACUUCGGAAUAGACACUUUUCGUGAUCACCCUGAGGCCUGUUUCUCCAUCUUUAAAGGGGGUGGUGCAGAGGCAGGCUCAUGGAGUGCUGGUGACGAUUCACAGAGGGGAACUGAAAUGUCUGGCACACGAGGGACACACAAGAAACAUUAGUUUCUAUGACCCUCUACAGUCAAUAAGCUAAUGAAUCCUCCCCAAAUAGCUUCUCCUUUAGAGUAGAAUCCCACUCAUUUUCACCACAGGACACCGGAAGGAUGUUAGGGUCCUUUGUUUGGUUUGUGGUGAGUUGACUUUGCACUUUAAAAGGGAAAGAAGGAAACCUGUGGUACCUCAAACAAUGAGCCUUUUCAAAGCCUGCAUUGGACUCCCAUUUCAAAGAAUAUUCUUAUUAACAUACUUUCUUAUAAAUAGAACACUACUCAUGAAAUAUUCAUAAGCCAUGGCCCAGAAGCCAGUGCCGCGCUGGGCCAGCGCAGGACAUCUCCCGUGCGCUGUGGCGUGGCGGAGGCCGGAGCCGGUGGGCUUGUGGCCUGGUUUGGGGGCUCUGGCAUGAGCCUGUCCUGGCCUGGUUCCUCCCGGCGCUGGGCCUGUUCUGGAGCCUGUCGGACUCCCACGCAGCCGGCUCUGUAGGCGACUCCUUUUGAAGUCCACGGGAGCUCUUUGAUGCAAGAAAGAGUCAGGCCUGAUGUACAUGGGGGAAUAGUGGUGCUUCUCACCCCAAAUAUUAGCAGAAAGUAUGGUUUUAUUAUUAAAUAAAAGACCCCCCCAAGAAACCCCACCAUCUACCUCCCAAGCUCCACCUUCCAUUUGCUGGGGAAGUGAUGAGCCUGCUAAUUGCCUGGGAGUUUAAUUAAGCAGCGGAUGCAGACAAUGCAGGCUCUGUUUUUACUUUAAACACAUCAGUAAAACAAACAUUCUCAAUUCCAGGGCAACUUGCUAAAUAAAAAAUAAACAUUACUAUCCUUUGAAAUAUCACCCAUUGAGUGUGAUAAUUUUGAAAAAUAUCUCUAUUACAGAGAGUUGCAGAUAUUUUUGGUUGGAAAUGCAAUCGCCAAUUGAGCACAAAUCUGCAAUUUGUAGACAGGUUAAGUAAAUUAUAUCACUCACUGUCUUUUUUUUUCUGGUAGCUUUAAAAGUUAAAGUAAUUUGCAAAGAAAAUGCUCAAUUUGAAUUGGUUUGUAAUAUCUGUUAAUGAUCUUUUAAAAACCCCACUUAUUCACAACUCCGUCCCUGAGGGAACCCGGUGAGCGAUCAGAAAAAUGCCUGAAGUCUGAGGUGUCAUUAGCUAGUAUUUCUUUGAAAUAAAAAGCCCUAAAAAUAAAUUAUACAAGGUACACAAGUGCACAGGACAAUCACCUUGAUGAAUGAUCUCUGUGUUUUUCUUUCCUAAAAAUGCGCCUUUGAAAUUCAAGCUGCUAAAUGUUUUCGGAAUUACCUCAGUGUAGGCAUACCUGCUCUGUUUAUUUCACACAUAUAUUGAGACCACCCAUAUAUUUCUGGGUAGUUGAUACAAAAACAGUUGUGUGAGGAACAAUUUUGACGAUAUUCAUUGUGUUUCCUUCUGGAAACGCAAGGCGUUGCCUGAAUACAGGCCUACAGGUGUUACCACCCUGAAGUAAAACAAGAGCCCGUUUCAGUGCAGCCCCUGCACCCCAGGCCAGGUGCCGGCGGAGGUGCAGACGCUGCGAAGCCCCUCCGAUGGGCCAAUAUUAGGUAGCAGAGCUGUGAAACGCUACACCAAAGCGAGCCUUCCUUCCUGGCCCCAGCCAGCCAUGGUCAGGCCUGGAGGCUGGGAGCCUUUGUAAGACAAUAUUGGUCCGAGUAACUGAAGAUGCCUGUUUGGCUACUGUAAAUACUAUAAAUAGCUUCUGCUUCUUCUUUUUUUUUUCUUUAGAGGGAGGAGUUGGAUUUUACUAACCCAUUGGCUACAGGUUAAUUAUACUUUUCAUAAGACAGCAUUUCCUUGUAGCCAGUCUAAAUUUAUCUUUAAUCCUUCUUUAUAUAAAAAGGUGAGGCCCUUCAUUGUCAUUAUUUUGCACAUUGCGCCUUCAACUUUUCUUUUUUCCUCCUCACACAUUGCUCACCGCUCAGCUAAACUGCAAAGGGGGCCAGUGACACUCAUCGACCUGCCAUCCGUGUGGUUCUUGCUCUCUUCUGCUCUGUACGCGACGUCCGGGGAGCCAGCUGAGCACAGGGAACAGCCACUGACCGAUUUUCAUAAAGAUCUUCUGUGGUAUGUUCCGUGCAAGCCCUCCAUUUACUUCACGUCAGGAAUAGAAAUCAGCAUUUGAAACUAGUUUCCAAGCAUUGCUGGGGCUCCAGGAUUGCGAAGAGCAGAAGCUUGGACUUGAUGGCUUCCCUGCACAUCCUGCAAGCACCGGGGCAAGGAGAACUGAGCCAGCCCUCCGUGGCCGGGAUGGCCUCCCCUUCCGAGAUAACCACUGCCCUGAUUUCUGAAGCCAGAGCUUUGUUUUGUUUUUGAGUGGCUUAUAAAUGGAGUCCUAAGGUCAUGGAGCUCCACCCGAUAGCUCAGUGCAUCGAGUGGAGUGGAUGUGCCACUGUCCCCGGAGUUGGAUGUCAGGAGCUACGGAGCCCGGCGUGGCAUUUACCACUUUCAGAGCUGGCAGCCUGGCCGAGGAGAUGGGACAAGAACUCAGGAAGCAAUCCCUGUAGCUGCUAAACUGGGAUUGUGCUGAGGACACCAAAGAGGACUGCCCUCUGGCUCCUCCCUUUAGAUUGGAGCAACGGGUACUCCGCUCACCUGCUUUGUGCACGUCCUUCUCACACAGCGAGUGAAGAGCUGAAUGGGAACAUUUAGAUGCAAAAACAAAAAUGCACUUGGAUGUUUCUGGGCUCCAGAGCCAGCAAGGAAGGAAGGAUUGGGCUUGCGGUGUUGGUGCCCAGGGGGGCACUGCCUGCCCCCGAGGUCCGGCCGCCCCCUCCGGAGCCCACAGCGCUGUAGGGCGGUAGGGAUUGUGGGCCCGAGGUCUUGGUCUUCCCAUCAAAGAUAGAGUCUGCACAAGGCUCCGCACCCAGACAGUCCUGGGACACUUCCUGCUAAGAGAGGCGUCUAGAAGCGUGUGGCCCACAGCCAGCUUCCCCAAAGCCCUUCACUUUCUCCUGAGACAUGAAGCCAACUAGCUGGGGACUCCACUUCAGGACAGAGGCUAAGUUAUUGCCUCUGAAAUGUGAGUAGAAGUGAUAUGUGCAGCAUCUACUUCCUGUUUUAACUGGAAAUCGCUCUUCCUAGACUUCCUGUGGCCUGGGACCUGGAUGUGCUGGUGACGCCAUUAAACCAGGCAGCAGAGCAGACGAGCAGCCUGGAGGCAGGUCUGGCCUCUUCUCUGAGAAACAGGCCAGCCGCAGCUGGGCCAGCUCCAGGGAGUUCUGAGAAAGGAAAGGCAGUCCAGUCUUAGUGGAUCUGUUGGAUCAAAGAGUAAAGUUUUUUACCUUGAAAAAUAUAGACAAUGUCUGGGCGUGGAAGUAGAGCUCUGGCUGCCAGUCAGUAGCUCGCAUCCCUUCAUCCUCCCCUGCUGUCCUUCCUCCCGCACAUGCUUAUUGAGCAUCCACUCUGUCUGAGCAGCAUGAAGCUGCCGGUGAUGGUAGGCAGCAGAGCCAUGGCCCUCUCCUGAAGCCGGCGUCCUCGUAGGGCAGACAGACAGAAACAAGCAGGCAGACUAAUUAAAACACCCACAGACCUGUUUCUGGAGAAAGAACUGGGAAAAGCCCCCGACAACCACUAAUCUGAGCUUUGUCUGGAUGGACACCCUCCUGGGCAUUUCACAUCCACGAAUCCUACAACAGUGGCCGCUGAGUCUUCUUUCACGUCCCAGGACUCCCAGGACGUCCUCAAGGCUCGUCUGUGCCUCCGCGUCUACAGACCCCUUCCUUUGCGAUGCCCGAGUAAUCCUCCAUUGCACCUCCGUUGCCCGUAUUUUUCUAAAUAAAGUUUUCACCGACA
Myotis davidii is the source of this 6844-nucleotide long non-coding RNA. RefSeq lists it as uncharacterized. The transcript has 6 exons. NCBI's taxonomy places the organism in Eukaryota, Metazoa, Chordata, Mammalia, Chiroptera, Vespertilionidae. The record is from RefSeq and is a predicted model, not a curated record.